UGCGUUAGCUGCGGCACUGAGAGGGUCAAUACCCCCAACACCUAGUGAACAUCGUUUACAGCGUGGACUACCAGGGUAUCUAAUCCUGUUUGCUACCCACGCUCUCGCGUCUCAGCGUCAGUAUAGGGCCAGAAAGUCGCCUUCGCCACCGGUGUUCCUCCUGAUAUCUACGAAUUUCACCUCUACACCAGGAAUUCCACUUUCCUCUCCCCUACUCAAGCUGAAUAGUUUCAAAUGCACUUCCUGGGUUAAGCCCAGGGAUUUCACAUCUGACUUAUUCAGCCGCCUACACGCUCUUUACGCCCAAUAAUUCCGAACAACGCUUGCACCCCCCGUAUUACCGCGGCUGCUGGCACGGAGUUAGCCGGUGCUUCCUUUAGCGGUACCGUCAAAUAUCAUGGAUAUUAGCCACGAUACAUUUCUUCCCGCUCGACAGAGCUUUACGGUCCGAAAACCUUCCUCACUCACGCGGCGUUGCUGCGUCAGGGUUGCCCCCAUUGCGCAAUAUUCCUCACUGCUGCCU
RNAcentral lists this ribosomal RNA (523 nucleotides) under uncultured Bacillota bacterium. RNAcentral's name for it is "uncultured Firmicutes bacterium partial 16S ribosomal RNA". The record is from RNAcentral. Lineage: Bacteria; Bacillati; Bacillota.